This 435-nucleotide ribosomal RNA is filed under the name uncultured bacterium. RNAcentral describes it as "bacterial SSU rRNA". It matches the Rfam family "Bacterial small subunit ribosomal RNA", at positions 29 to 507 of the family's 1533-position model. The record is from RNAcentral.
AGCGAACGUUGGCGGCAUGCCUAACACAUGCAAGUCGAACGAACCCUUCGGGGUGAGUGGCGCACGGGUGCGUAACGCGUGGGAACCUGCCCUUAGGUUCGGAAUAACAGUGAGAAAUCGCUGCUAAUACCGGAUAAUGUCUUCGGACCAAAGAUUUAUCGCCUUUGGAUGGGCCCGGCGUUGGAUUAGCUAGUUGGUGGGGUAAAGGCUCACCAAGGCGACGAUCCAUAGCUGGUCUUAGAGGAUGAUCAGCCACACUGGGACUGAGACACGGCCCAGACUCCUACGGGAGGCAGCAGUGGGGGAAUAUUGGACAAUGGGCGAAAGCCUGAUCCAGCAAUGCCGCGUGAGUGAUGAAGGCCUUAGGGUUGUAAAGCUCUUUUACCAGGGAUGAUAAUGACAGUACCUGGAGAAUAAGCUCCGGCUAACUCCGUG